RNAcentral lists this ribosomal RNA (253 nucleotides) under uncultured prokaryote. RNAcentral's name for it is "partial 16S ribosomal RNA". It matches the Rfam family "Bacterial small subunit ribosomal RNA", at positions 525 to 777 of the family's 1533-position model. The record is from RNAcentral.
ACGGGGGGGGCAAGCGUUGUUCGGAAUUACUGGGCGUAAAGGGCUCGUAGGCGGCCAACUAAGUCGGAUGUGAAAUCCCCAGGCUUAACCUGGGAACUGCAUCCGAUACUGGUUGGCUUGAAUCCGGGAGAGGGAUGCGGAAUUCCAGGUGUAGCGGUGAAAUGCGUAGAUAUCUGGAGGAACACCGGUGGCGAAGGCGGCAUCCUGGACCGAUACUGACGCUGAGGAGCGAAAGCCAGGGGAGCAAACGGGA